This 175-nucleotide unclassified non-coding RNA is filed under the name uncultured Hypocreaceae. RNAcentral's name for it is "sequence contains ITS1". The record is from RNAcentral. Lineage: Eukaryota; Fungi; Ascomycota; Sordariomycetes; Hypocreales.
CCGAGUUUACAAAACUCCCAAACCCACUGUGAACCUUACCCAAACGUUGCUUCGGCGGGACCGCCCCGGGCCACCGCGCCCGGAACCAGGCGCCCGCCGGAGGCCCCAAAACUCUCCUGUCUCCCGUAGCGGCAUUUUACUUCUGAGUCUGCCUAACGGCAAAGCAAAUGAAUCA